RNAcentral lists this long non-coding RNA (369 nucleotides) under Nicotiana tabacum (common tobacco). Its description in RNAcentral is "long non-coding RNA (NTAB_LNC012622)". Lineage: Eukaryota; Viridiplantae; Streptophyta; Magnoliopsida; Solanales; Solanaceae. The record is from RNAcentral.
UAAGGAAUCCACUCGAAAGGUAAGUUUCCACGGAAUUCUCUUUUAUCUUUUACUAAAACAAGAAAAUUCAAAAAAAAAAAAUCAGUUAGUGUCCUUGAACUUUUUCCUUCAGUUAGCAUUAGGGUUUUAAACCCUAAACUGAACUUUUUCGUUUAGUCAGCAUUAGGAUUUUAAACCCUAAACUGAACUUUUUCCUUUACUCAGCAUUAGGGUUUUAAACCCUAAACUGAACUUUUCCCUUUAAUCAGCAUUAGGGUUUUAAACCCUAAACUGAACUUUGUCCAGUUGGUCAGCAUUAGGGUUUUAAAACCUUAAACUAAACUUUUCACUUUAAUCAGCAUUAGGGUUUUAAACUCUAAACUGAACUUU